CAGCAGCUCAAACGCGCAAUGCCCUUUUCCGGAAAGACGAAGACCGACAGUCGCGCUGCGCACCAGAAUCGGCUGCUUGCGGCUCUGCCAGCGAAGAACCUGCAGGUCUUCCUGGAAAACUGCGAUCGCAUCACCCUCGCCCGGGCGGAAGUGCUGUGCGAGUCCGGAGCGCGGAUCCGGCACGUCUACUUUCCCAUCGACAGUUGCAUUUCGUUGAUAGCCCUGGUCGACGAUCGGGCCAGCCUGGAAGUGGGCAUCAUCGGGCAUGAGGGCAUGCUGGGCACGGCCCUGAUCCUCGGCCUGAAUAUUUCACCGUUGCAUGCAGUCAUCCAGGGA
This 336-nucleotide unclassified non-coding RNA is filed under the name uncultured bacterium. RNAcentral describes it as "contains 16S-23S intergenic spacer region". The record is from RNAcentral.